AUAACUGUAAUAACUCUAGAGCUAAUACAUGCCACGAUGCCCUGACCUGUGUCCUGCACAGGGAUGGGUGCACUUAUUAGAUCAGAAACCAACCGAGCCCUGUUCGCAGGGCUUGUUGUCGUUCUGGUGACUCUGGAUAAUUGUUACAGAUCGCAGUCGGCCUUGCGUCGGCGACGGGUCCUUCAAAUGUCUGCCCUAUCAACUUUCGAUGGUAGGUGAUCUGCCUACCAUGGUGAUAACGGGUAACGGGGAAUCAGGGUUCGAUUCCGGAGAGGGAGCCUGAGAAACGGCUACCACUUCCAAGGGAGGCAGCAGGCGCGCAAAUUACCCACUCCCGGUACGGGGAGGUGGUGACGAAAAAUACCGAUGCGGGACUCUUCAAGAGGCUCCGUAAUCGGAAUGAGUGAACUCUAAAUCCUUUCACGAGGAUCAAUUGGAGGGCAAGUCUGGUGCCAGCAGCCGCGGUAACUCCAGCUCCAAUAGCGUAUAUUAAAGUUGCUGCAGUUAAAAAGCUCGUAGUUGGAUCUCGGUAUCACUGUUGCCUGCCAUUGCUUGGCCAGCUGGGUGCCGGGUGAUGCGGCUGAGUGCCGUGUUGCCUUGGUGUUCGACUGUUGUCGAGUUGGUUUGGUAGCGGUGCCACCUUUUAGCCAUGUCUGUGGUGAAAUACCCACAGGUGUAGGCAAGUGUCAGGCGGUGCUCUGCAGCUGUAGGGUCCGUCGGCUCGUCUGCAUGCCUUUGGAUGCCCUUUAAAAGGUGUCUGUGGGCGGAUGGCACGUUUACUUUGAACAAAUUUGAGUGCUCAAACCAGGCCGUUGUAGCCUGAAAAGUUUUGCAUGGAAUAAUGGAAUAGGACUUCGGUUCUAUUUUGUUGGUUUUCGGAUCCGAAGUAAUGAUCAAAAGAGACAGGCGGGGACGUUUGUAUGGUUGCGCUAGAGGUGAAAUUCAUGGACCGUAACCAGACAGACUAAAGCGAAAGCAUUCGUCAAGCAUGUUUUCAUUGGCCAUGAGCGAAAGUCAGAGGCUCGAAAACGAUCAGAAACCGUCCUAGUUCGGACCAUAAACGAUGCCCACUGACGAUCCGGGGUGGUAAUUUAAUAACCGUCCCUCCGGGCA
This 1113-nucleotide ribosomal RNA is filed under the name Khawia sp. KE3. Its description in RNAcentral is "SSU rRNA". It matches the Rfam family "Eukaryotic small subunit ribosomal RNA", at positions 143 to 1085 of the family's 1831-position model. The record is from RNAcentral. Lineage: Eukaryota; Metazoa; Platyhelminthes; Cestoda; Caryophyllidea; Lytocestidae.